UCUUCUAGCAUCCUCUUUCACGGCUCAGGCUCAAGCUCAACCCUCAAAUCCCGUCUCUCGGAUCACAGUAGUGGGAUUUGUUUUCUGUGAUACCUGUUCAAGCAACACUUUAUCUAGGCACAGAUACUUCUUGCCAGGUGUUGAAGUCAACAUUGAGUGCAAGUUUAAAGCAAGAUCAAAAACAGCAUAGCAAAUGAGCGUCUCUGUCAACAGAACUACAGAUAAAUGUGGAGUUUACAAGGUGGAAAUGCCGGACGUUGAUGGGGUUGACUGUGUGGAAGGUUUGGCCGUUGAAUCAUUAUGCGAGGCAAGUUUAAUAGGGAGCAAAUCUAAAGCAUGCAAUGUACCGGGUUUGAAGACUUGUACGAACCAGAUAUCUGUCAAAUCAAAACAAGACAAUCUCUGCAUCUACAGCUUGAAUGCACUGAGUUACAGGCCAUCCAAGAGAAAUGCCACCUUCUGUAGAAA
Molecule: long non-coding RNA, 468 nt
Organism: Hibiscus syriacus
Lineage: Eukaryota; Viridiplantae; Streptophyta; Magnoliopsida; Malvales; Malvaceae
Exons: 2
Source: RefSeq, a predicted model, not a curated record